AGAGCGAACGCUGGCGGCAGGCCUAACACAUGCAAGUCGAGCGCCCCGCAAGGGGAGCGGCAGACGGGAGAGUAACACGUGGGAACGUACCCUUCAGUUCGGAACAACCCAGGGAAACUUGGGCUAAUACCGAAUACGUCCGUAAGGAGAAAGAUUUAUCGCUGAAGGAUCGGCCCGCGUCUGAUUAGCUAGUUGGUGAGGUAACGGCUCACCAAGGCUACGAUCAGUAGCUGGUCUGAGAGGAUGAUCAGCCUCACUGGGACUGAGACACGGCCCAGACUCCUACGGGAGGCAGCAGUGGGGAAUAUUGGACAAUGGGCGCAAGCCUGAUCCAGCCAUGCCGCGUGGAUGAUGAAGGCCUUAGGGUUGUAAAGUCCUUUCGACGGGGAAGAUAAUGACGGUACCCGUAGAAGAAGCCCGGCUAACUUCGUGCCAGCAGCCGAC
RNAcentral lists this ribosomal RNA (444 nucleotides) under uncultured bacterium. RNAcentral describes it as "SSU rRNA". It matches the Rfam family "Bacterial small subunit ribosomal RNA", at positions 26 to 518 of the family's 1533-position model. The record is from RNAcentral.